Non-coding RNA from Hyaena hyaena (striped hyena), 862 nucleotides. Lineage: Eukaryota; Metazoa; Chordata; Mammalia; Carnivora; Hyaenidae. The record is from the annotation of a RefSeq genome assembly.
UCAUUGCUGUCUCUUCAGUGCUUCUUCCUGCUAAGAAUGAGCACAUUCUUUAGGUGACACUCUAGAGAUGAACCCUUCUCCAGGCUUCGUGACUGUGGUACUCUUGCUUCUUGGACAAACCCAUGGAGACUCAGUGACCCAGACAGAAGGUCCAGUGACCAUUCCUGAAAGGGAGUCCCUGACUAUAAACUGUACUUAUUCAGUGGCAGGGUCCCCUACUCUUUUCUGGUAUGUCCAGUAUCCCAGAGAAGGUCCACAACUCCUCUUGAAAGCCAUGAAGGACAAGGAGAAGGGAAGUCACAAAGGUUUUGAGGCCACCUACGACAGCAAAUCCAAAACCUUCCACUUGGAGAAGUCCUCAGUGCAAGCGUCAGAUUUGGCCGUGUACUACUGUGCCGUGAUUGACACAGUGACAGGGACUGCAGGGGGAGCUGAGCACAAACUCUGAGCAGAGCAGGGGCCCGGAUGCUGAGUGUCUCUGACUGAUCCACUCUGGUUCCAGCACAGUGUAUGGUUGUCUGUCCCUCAGUGUCUGCUUGAUACAAAAGUCAUACAAAUGGCUAGAGCCUAGGAACCAGAGGGACAUUCCCCAGCCCAGCUGCUCAUUAGUGCAACUGGAAAUGUCAGUAGUUCCUCAGCCAGGACCCAAGUAAUUUCAAGGUGAAACCAUAGAACAUUGACGUGGUCGCUUGCUCAUCCUGCAGAGAGAGUCCAGCCCCACAGGAUGUUCAGGCCACCCUGGGGGGUAUUGCUGUGUCUCAUCACAGGUUUAGAGAGCCAGGCUGUGCCCGAGAAGGUGGUGUCUGCCCCAUGUCUUCCUGACAAAGAAUGUGCAGGAGAGGUGAUGGGAGAGCUAUAGCCC